GCAGCAGCCACGGUAAUACGAGGGGGGCAAGCGUUGUUCGGAAUUAUUGGGCGUAAAGGGUGCGUAGGCGGCUUGACAAGUCUUGUGUGAAAUCUAUGGGCUCAACCCAUAGUCUGCACGGGAAACUGUCGGGCUUGAGAAUGGGAGAGGUGAGUGGAAUUUCCGGUGUAGCGGUGAAAUGCGUAGAUAUCGGAAGGAACACCUGUGGCGAAAGCGGCUCACUGGACCAUUUCUGACGCUGAUGCACGAAAGCUAGGGGAGCAAACAGGAUUAGAUACCCCCGUAGUCCCUGUCUCUUAUAC
Molecule: ribosomal RNA, 302 nt
Filed under: uncultured bacterium
Lineage: Bacteria
Description: partial 16S ribosomal RNA
Rfam family: Bacterial small subunit ribosomal RNA
Source: RNAcentral